RNAcentral lists this long non-coding RNA (581 nucleotides) under Rosa chinensis. RNAcentral describes it as "sRNA RchiOBHm_Chr7g0213841". The record is from RNAcentral. Lineage: Eukaryota; Viridiplantae; Streptophyta; Magnoliopsida; Rosales; Rosaceae.
CGGCCGAACACGGUCGGCGUUCCCUGCCACUGUGUUCUGGCCCGGGAGAGGAUUGAUAAUUAGGAGUUGUUGUGGGCCUUCAGGGCACCGUCCAGGGAGGGUGGAUUCUUCUCCAGUUUCGGGCGGUACAGAUCGUUUCUCGAUCUAUCUUUCUUGGAUCCGGGGCGGAGGCAGUGGUGCAGCAGUGACAGUCUUCAGCUUUCCAGUGGUGGUUUCUGGCAUCAUCGAUCUUGCGUGGUGUAUGGCUGUGGCGAUUCAGAUCAGAGCGAGGCAGUGGAGAUCUCGAAUGGGAUCUGUCUUCGCUUUGCUCUGGGUUCGUUUUGUGGUCGUCUGCCUGGUGUGGGACUAGCUAUGGCGUGACAAGGCGGUGCUGCGACGGAAGGCUUUGGCGCGGUGGCUUGUUGCUGUGUGGCGGUGUUUUGGUGGUGCUGGGGAUCACCGGCGGCAGCAUGGUGGUGAUGGGUGACUUGAUUCAUUAACUCUCGCAAGCGUACGAAUCGUUGUCAAGUAAGGGAAGUAUUAAAACCUUGAUUAUCGUACCUCGAGGAUUAGGUGUUGGACCUAACCGAGGUAAUUGGCGC